RNAcentral lists this ribosomal RNA (422 nucleotides) under uncultured bacterium. RNAcentral's name for it is "bacterial SSU rRNA". It matches the Rfam family "Bacterial small subunit ribosomal RNA", at positions 355 to 774 of the family's 1533-position model. The record is from RNAcentral.
UGAGGAAUAUUGGACAAUGGAUGGAAAUCUGAUCCAGCCAUGCCGCGUGCAGGAAGACGGCCCUAUGGGUUGUAAACUGCUUUUGUAUGGGAGCAAUAAGGACUACGUGUAGUUUGAUGAGAGUACCAUACGAAUAAGCAUCGGCUAACUCCGUGCCAGCAGCCGCGGUAAUACGGAGGAUGCGAGCGUUAUCCGGAUUUAUUGGGUUUAAAGGGUGCGUAGGCGGCUAUAUAAGUCAGUGGUGAAAUAUUUCGGCUUAACCGAGAGACUGCCAUUGAUACUGUGUUGCUAGAAUAUGGUUGCUGUGAGUGGAAUGUGUGGUGUAGCGGUGAGAUGCUUAGAUAUCACACAGAAUAUCGAUUGCGAAGGCAGCUCACAAAGCCAUUAUUGACGCUGAGGCACGAAAGUGUGGGGAUCAAACA